GGAGAGAUGGCCGAGCGGCUUAAGGCAACGGUUUGCUAAACCGUCAUAUGGGUUAUUCCGUAUCGGGGGUUCGAAUCCCCCUCUCUCCGCCA
Molecule: transfer RNA, 92 nt
Filed under: Alphaproteobacteria bacterium
Lineage: Bacteria; Pseudomonadati; Pseudomonadota; Alphaproteobacteria
Also listed under: 1 other name
Description: tRNA-Ser
Rfam family: tRNA
About the family: Transfer RNA (tRNA) molecules are approximately 80 nucleotides in length. Their secondary structure includes four short double-helical elements and three loops (D, anti-codon, and T loops). Further hydrogen bonds mediate the characteristic L-shaped molecular structure. tRNAs have two regions of fundamental functional importance: the anti-codon, which is responsible for specific mRNA codon recognition, and the 3' end, to which the tRNAs corresponding amino acid is attached (by aminoacyl-tRNA synthetases). tRNAs cope with the degeneracy of the genetic code in two manners: having more than one tRNA (with a specific anti-codon) for a particular amino acid; and 'wobble' base-pairing, i.e. permitting non-standard base-pairing at the 3rd anti-codon position.
Source: RNAcentral